RNA transcript from Populus trichocarpa (black cottonwood), 2747 nucleotides. RefSeq lists it as uncharacterized. Lineage: Eukaryota; Viridiplantae; Streptophyta; Magnoliopsida; Malpighiales; Salicaceae. The transcript has 7 exons. The record is from RefSeq and is a predicted model, not a curated record.
GCAUCACACGUGACAAAAAGGCCAGUUUGUAAGAACAGUGCUUGCAGCUAGCUGUGACAGAGAAAAUGGAGAAAGACUGCGAGACAGCGUAGGAGACCUGCUAAAAUUCACUCUUGAAUCCCAAGUUAACCAAACCCUAGAAUUCAAUCUCGGACUCUCCAAAGAGUUCUGCAUUAACCUCCUAGAAGAAGACCCAAAUGACGUGUCAUGUAACUGUCCUGCAACGGAUUCUUUUGAUGGGGUCGCUCAAUAUCCUUUGUAUAAGCGUUUAGCUUUGUAUCAUUCUGUAAAGUGUGGUGCUUUAUGGAGAACUUAUGUGAAGAUGAUGUUUUGUGAUGAAGAUAGUAACUUGAAGUAGAAAGAAGAGAAUUGGAAUCAGUUGAUUAAAUAAAAGGGACUUGAAUUGAUAAAUGUUUUGGAGGGUGUAUUUUGUGAAAUUCAUGUUCAGGAACCUUACUUUUCACUCUUGAAAGAUGGGAGCAAAACAGUCGAAGGAAGGUGUGCUACUGGUGAUUACAUAAUGUAGAUGGUUUGCCAUAUGCUUCAAGUACAUCAUCAUGAAUAUUUGCAAGUUUAUGAUUGUGCAACCUUUGAAGAACUCUCUGCAAGAAAGUGGAUGAAUGUCUUUAUUUUCUUAUAUAUUUUUGUAGCUUAUAUUCAGUUUUUUUUGCUAUAGAAUUGGGCUGGGAGAUGUGAUACUCGUAAACAAAACUGUGGUGAGAUGAGCCCGCAUUGUCGAGAUAUAUUCAUUCAUUUAUAUUUUCAGUCUGGGCUAUAUACUUUUAUCUGUUUCCUGAAUGUUCACAGAUACGCUUCAUUUUUUAAGAUGUUGCAAGCUGAGAGUCUCGAGAAAGUCCUUCCUGGAGUUAAAACUGUUGAAGAAGGGCAAACCGGGUGUCAAGAUUUAUAGGAAAUUAUAUGCAGAAGAAAAGGAAGUGUCUAAUGGUGUCCUGGCAAUCUGUGUUUCAAAACUGGCUGCCCAGCCAUACCUUUCUCUGGCUAGCAUACUGUUUGGAUUGAGUUAUGGAGGUGUUCAAAGUCAACUGGGUACUGCAGGUACUGGUUGAACAGUUUCUAAUUCCCUACCUAUUCCAAGAUCGACACUUCUCUCAUCCUUCAUUUUUCCAUAUAAUCUGAAUGUAAGAUCAUGGUACAUAAUGAAUUGUUUCAUGCCGUAAGCUAUCUCAAGAGAUUUUUUUUAGCUUUUUCUGGGCCCUAUGAUAAGAAAUUGGGUUGCAUUGAAUUGAUCUGUUCAAAAUUUGGAUUCAAUAGAAAGUCAUAGUAGAGAAAGCUCAUAGCAGAAUUUACUUAUCUCUUAAAAUGCAAACAAUGACUAUUCAAGGGAGAGUAAUCAUCUACCUUGUUUUUUCUUAAUAUCUGAUAUGUUAAUCUAAUCUAUUUAUCUUGUUCCAAUUUAGUCAUCCGUGAGAGAAUUGUUUUGUACAAAGGGAACAAUUUCUUGCUUGCUGGACUUAAUAUUCAUGUUGCCUUUAGACCCCCCAAGUAGUGGCAACCAAGGUUGAUUUUCAGCAUUCUUUGUGGGUACAUUUCCUAACUUUUUUUUCCUUUUUGUCAAACUGUCAAGGAAGCAGCUGUCUACUCAGUUCAUUAUAUGUUUGAGCAGGUUUAUGCAUGCCAAUUGUAGAAUUGUUUCAAGCUUGAUUUUGUAAAUAUAUUGUGGUUCAUGAUUCUGAGGUUUUUUAUUUAUUGGCUUGAGAUCAAAGGCAGUGCCUUGGCGAAGCAUGCUGAAAGGAGCAGCGAUAGAUUUCAGUCCAUUAACCGCUUGGGGCGUUCUUGGUGGAAGUGUUCAUUUCACUCAAAGAAAUGGAAGCAUUAGUUUGCUUGAGGGGGCAUUUCGACUGGCAUCCUUGAACUAUAUACUGUCUCAUAGUAAUGCCUUAGCCCUACCCUCGCUUUCCUUUUGUGUCAUUUCAGUUAAUAGGAUUUCUUGAACUACUCAUGGAAGAUGGUCACUUAAAGGGAUUGAAGCAUAGUUUGUGUGAGGGGGCAUUCCUAGUGGUGUCCUUGAUCUGUAAAAUUGUCAUCAUGAUAGCAACUUGAAUACAAAGUUUUCAAAGAAAUGAUAUCUUAAUAGCAGUGCUCAGUUCCAUCUUAUGAUACUGACUGGGACUUUAGAGAUCAUUGAUCUUUAUUGAUGUUCAAUCUCUGCUUGAUUUAAAACUUGAAUAGAAAGUAUUUCUGAGCUUGGCUGGUCAGGGGCAAUAAUCGUUAUGGCACUAGCAUUGGUUUGGUGGUGUCUAUGCACAUCUUGAUGUAUCUUAUGGGAAAGAUAUCAUAGGUUUGCAAUCAUUCCUUAAGUAGCUAUCACUCGGUAACAUGUCCUGCCUCGUACUCACUUGUUCUUUGUUUAUGUGACAGAUGUAUUUACAUUAAAGUCGAUAAGCAACCUAUAUAGAGUGUGACAUGUCACAGUACAGGUUAUUCAGGCAACCUGGAAGAAUUUUUGAAAAUUUUGAUUGAUGAUGGCACCAAGAUUGCAUCAAUAUUAUCUCAAGAGGGGCUGAUCGCAGUCGGCAAGCGCUUGUGCAUAUUACAACUGUUAAAUGAACCAUCCUUGUCAACCCCUCCCUCCAUUAACAUUUAGUGUAUGUAAUUAUCUUGGGGACAGUUGAUGUUUUAAGGAUUCUCAAAAGCAUGCAACAUACACCGGCUAAGGACAAUUUAUGUUUUCCCCUCACUUUGUUACUUCUCUCUAAUUAUCUGAAUGGUCGUGCAGUUUGGAUUUA